AGACUUUGUGUUGCGAGUUCACUUUUGGAAACUAGUGCAUGUGGUGUCAAAAAAGGUGGAAACUUUGCAGCCUUUUCCUGCCCUUGAAUUUGAAUUUGAAUUUGCAUUUGAAUAUUGUUUGUGUAGGAGCUGCAUAAAGUAAGAGUU
This is a small nucleolar RNA of Hyaena hyaena (striped hyena), 147 nucleotides long. RefSeq annotates it as small nucleolar RNA SNORA13. The transcript has a single exon. Lineage: Eukaryota; Metazoa; Chordata; Mammalia; Carnivora; Hyaenidae. The record is from RefSeq and is a predicted model, not a curated record.